Molecule: ribosomal RNA, 253 nt
Filed under: uncultured bacterium
Lineage: Bacteria
Description: partial 16S ribosomal RNA
Rfam family: Bacterial small subunit ribosomal RNA
Source: RNAcentral
GACAGAGGGUGCAAACGUUGUUCGGAAUUACUGGGCGUAAAGCGCGUGUAGGCGGCUUGGCAAGUCGGGUGUGAAAGCCCUCAGCUCAACUGAGGAAGUGCGCCCGAAACUGCUUUGCUUGAGUACCGGAGAGGGUGGCGGAAUUCCCCAAGUAGAGGUGAAAUUCGUAGAUAUGGGGAGGAACACCGGUGGCGAAGGCGGCCACCUGGACGGAUACUGACGCUGAGACGCGAAAGCGUGGGGAGCAAACAGG